This 645-nucleotide long non-coding RNA is filed under the name Nicotiana benthamiana. Its description in RNAcentral is "long non-coding RNA (NBEN_LNC021047)". The record is from RNAcentral. Lineage: Eukaryota; Viridiplantae; Streptophyta; Magnoliopsida; Solanales; Solanaceae.
AAUUCAACUUAACAAAUCAACAGUAACAACAAUACACAAGCUUAAACAGUCCAAAGUUAAUAUAAUUAGAUCAUUGCAAUUCAAUUUCUAGGAAUUCAUAUCAAGUGAAAAUAAUUUUAAUUAAGCUCACACAAGUCAAACUAAACAACUAGGCACGAUUGACUAUAACUACAGUUUAACUAUUAAAUAGUGAAUGCAGCAUAAGAGCCUUCAUCCAAACUUCCAUUCAUUUCAUCAACCAAGGGUUUACAAGCGUGUACCUGGAUGAGGGAAUUAAGAGGAAGCAGAGUCAGUUUAACACCAGCACGCACAUGCAGCAAUCAAUAAGCCAAAAUUCAGCUCAAACCAGGAAUAGUAUUUGAAAAUAAAUCACAGCCAAGCAAAACACCACAAAUCGACUGAAAUGCACCCAAAUAGACUCCAAAUACUUCCAAAAUACUUCAGCAAACCCAGAACUCAAACUAUGAGACAGAAUUUGAAAGCUAGAACUCAUCAAUUAACUGAAAACCUCAAUGAAACGGUAAGUUCUUCCUUUUUAAGUUUUUCUCGAGAUUUCUACUGUUUUUGGGAUUUUUUUUUGGUUUGAAUUCAAAAGCUAACUCUGAAAUUGAGAAUGAAAGGAAAAAGUUCAGUAUGAGAUUUUUA